AAAUCUGGUGGUGAGGGCAACUAGCACAUAAUUUUUUAAAUCUCUCCCAGUAUUCAUAUAGGCUCUCCCCACUAAGUUGUCUAAUACUUGAAAUAUCCUUUCCAGGGAAUUU
Glycine soja is the source of this 112-nucleotide non-coding RNA. The record is from Rfam. Lineage: Eukaryota; Viridiplantae; Streptophyta; Magnoliopsida; Fabales; Fabaceae.